RNAcentral lists this transfer RNA (76 nucleotides) under Clostridiales bacterium. RNAcentral describes it as "tRNA-Val". The record is from RNAcentral. Lineage: Bacteria; Bacillati; Bacillota; Clostridia; Eubacteriales.
UGUACUCCAACCAGUACGGUAGAGCACAUCGUUCACAUCGAUGGGGUCACUGGUUCGAGUCCAGUAAGCACCACCA